This 19-nucleotide small nuclear RNA is filed under the name Arabidopsis thaliana (thale cress). Its description in RNAcentral is "snRNA_12519". The record is from RNAcentral. Lineage: Eukaryota; Viridiplantae; Streptophyta; Magnoliopsida; Brassicales; Brassicaceae.
CAGUUUGUUCUCCAUCCCA